This 1968-nucleotide transfer RNA is filed under the name Canis lupus familiaris (dog). Its description in RNAcentral is "lncRNA (ENSCAFG00845015598.1)". The stretch from base 1291 to 1362 matches the Rfam family "tRNA". Lineage: Eukaryota; Metazoa; Chordata; Mammalia; Carnivora; Canidae. The record is from RNAcentral.
AUAUUUAUACAUUAUCAUUAACUAAAGUCCAAAAGUCAUUCAGAUUUCCUUAGUUUUUACCUAGUGUCCAUUUUUGUUCCAGGAUCCUAUUCAGAAUUCCACAUUAUAGUUUGUCAUUGCAUUUCCUUAGGCUCCACUUGGUUGUGGCAGUUUCUCAGGCUUUGCUUGUUCUUGUCUUUGCACAGUUUGGAGUACUGCUCAGGUGUUUUGUAGAAUGGCCUUCAUUUGUCUGAUGUUUUUCUCAUAAUUAAACAAAGUUAUAGGUUUGGGGGAGGAAGAUCACAGAAGUGUCAUUGUCAUGUUCACCAUUUAUACCAUUUCGAGGUUAUAUACUAUCAAAAAUGGCUUACUCCUGCUGAUGUUGACUUUGGUCACCGGCUGAAGUUGUGUUUGUCAGGUUCCUUCGAUCACUUACCCUAUUUCUCUCCCUUUCCUUAAUGUACUCUUUGGAAAGCAACCACUAUGCAGAGCCCACAAUGAAAGAGUGGGGAAUUAGAUUAUUUGGAACUCUUCUGCAUGGGCGAUUCCCUGAGACUGAGGUUGGUUCUACAUCAGGAAAGCUACUGGAGCCAGGCUGUUGGAACUGCAAUGUAGUCUUCAUGUUCACUGUCCUCCGGUUUGACGGCCGGGGAUCGCUUCUGGCCCCUCCGCCCGUGGGGACCGGUCCGGACGCGUCCAGCCUCGCGACCGCAGGAGGUCUUUCCUGCCGAGGAGUUCGCGCCAGGCGCACAGCCGCUCCCGGAAGAGCCGAGUCAAAACUUCCAGAGACAAAACCCUGCGUGGAAGGCACUCGAGGUUUCUGUCCUGCUCUUACGCUUCAGUCUCCGCAGGGCGGAGCGCUUCCCCGGAGGAAAACGCGCCUCUUUCUCCCCGGGGUCCGGCCCCAGGCCCGUGUCGUGACGUCAUCCACACUUUACAGGUCAUGAGAUUAACCCGCGAGGGCAGGAGGGAACGCAAGACCCGCACACGCGAGGCGGCGCCACCUGGGCAGCCGCACGGGGCAGGCGGAGCCCGGCCGCCGGCAGGUGGAGCCGCCCUACCUGCGUCUGGACCGCGGGGCUGCAGGAAGGGCAGAGGGCGCCACCAGGCCUGAACCCGUCUCGUCUGUCCCCAGAAACCGAUUUGCUUUGGGAUUUUGCACUAAGAGCCCUGUGCACGCCAAGGCCCCUGUGUCACGGGGCCAGAUGUCAAAAACUAAGACGCGAAUUUCAGCUUUCUUGGGACUCCCUGAGCUCAGAGGUGGAGAUCCAUCCUGUCAGGGAGGAGCGCUGUCGGGGCCAGCGAGUGUGGGGUUCCAUGGUGUAAUGGUUAGCACUCUGGACUCUGAAUCCAGCGAUCCGAGUUCAAAUCUCGGUGGAACCUGACUGUUCUCCUUUUCAAGUUUCCUUUUUUACGGGGAGUUGGCAGUGGACCUCCAGUUCACGUGAACCCAGAGUGUGAUCUUGAAGGGGAAGAUGACACCGUGUGGACCUGGACACUGACUCGCUGCCCUAUUGUUCAGACAGAGUAGAGGAGCAUCCUCCCUCCUUCUCCCUGUUUUCCUCUCCCACCUAACAGAUAUUCUGUGACACACAAUUUUGAGUUGAGUUGAACGUUUUCUGAGUUAUUGCUUUAUAAAAUGUAAUGAGCUCACUUGGUGCAAAAGGAUGCAACAGAAUUGAAGGAGAAGAAAGAUUCUUAUGAAUACAAUAUUUGCCCAGAGAAAAUCUGACUUCAUAAUGUCUAUUAGGUACAAUGACCUGAAUUUACACAUCUUUCACUUUCCACUGAGAAACACAGAUUUGGGAAAAAUCUAUUCAUCUAUUAAAUAAAAAAUUUCUUGGACUGUCUCAGAUAUUUGAACACUGAACACUGCUGGAUGCCCACAGAUGUAAAUUUGAAGUACUUAUGGACAGAGCAAAUAAAGAUCCAGAUACAUUUUCUGAGUGUUUCCACAGUGUUCCUUUGGUUAUUUUUAUGACAUUGAUC